This 636-nucleotide ribosomal RNA is filed under the name uncultured organism. Its description in RNAcentral is "bacterial SSU rRNA". It matches the Rfam family "Bacterial small subunit ribosomal RNA", at positions 222 to 859 of the family's 1533-position model. The record is from RNAcentral.
AGGAGCAGACUGCGUCCUACUAGCUUGUUGGUGGGGUAAUGGCCUACCAAGGCUUCGAUGGGUAGCGGGCGUGAGAGCGUGGCCCGCCACACUGGGACUGAGACACUGCCCAGACACCUACGGGUGGCUGCAGUCGAGAAUCUUCGGCAAUGGACGAAAGUCUGACCGAGCGAUGCCGCGUGCGGGAUGAAGGCCCUCGGGUUGUAAACCGCGAAAGAUGGGAGGAAAGCCCUGUGAAUAGCAGGGCCUGACCGAUCAUCAGUAAGGACGGGCUAAGUUCGUGCCAGCAGCCGCGGUAACACGAACCGUCCAAACGUUAUUCGGAAUCAUUGGGCUUAAAGGGUGCGUAGGCGGCGUGUUAAGUCGGGUGUGAAAUCCCACAGCUCAACUGUGGAACUGCGCCCGAUACUGGCAUGCUUGAGGGAGACAGGGGUAAGCGGAACUGAUGGUGGAGCGGUGAAAUGCGUUGAUAUCAUCAGGAACACCGGUGGCGAAAGCGGCUUACUGGGUCUCUUCUGACGCUGAGGCACGAAAGCUAGGGUAGCGAACGGGAUUAGAUACCCCGGUAGUCCUAGCUGUAAACGAUGAGCACUUGGUUGGGGGCCCCCCCAUAGGCUCUUGGCCGUAGCGAAAGUG